AGCUAAAGAGAAGAAGGUAGAUGAACCUUCGACUAGCAAAGGAAAGGGGAAAAUGUACAAGUUAUGAAGACUUAUAAUUUUGAUUUUGAUUAUGAUGUUAGACUUUUAUUAUGAUGAUCUUAGAUUUUAUUUUAAAUGAUGAAAUGUUAUAAUUUUAAUUCCGCAUUUGAAUGACGUUUAAAGGUUAGAUAACCUGGGAUGUUUUUGAUGAACUUAAUGAUGUAACCCUAUUUACGGGGAGGUUUUAUGAUUCAAAUAUUGUUUUAUUUGGGUAGAUAGUAUGAA
This 285-nucleotide long non-coding RNA is filed under the name Panax ginseng (ginseng). RNAcentral describes it as "long non-coding RNA (PGIN_LNC000010)". Lineage: Eukaryota; Viridiplantae; Streptophyta; Magnoliopsida; Apiales; Araliaceae. The record is from RNAcentral.